CCUAACCACCCAGAACUGGUGUCAUAGUGUCACAGACAAUCUAAGAUUUACUAUAUAUAAAUUCUGAAAAAUAAAUGAUAUAUUGUUUCUGAAUUAAGGAAAUGAAACAGGGAUAAAGGGAUAGAGAGAGAUGCCAGGGCCUGCGGAUGCCUGCAUGUAUACCUUGGAUCUCCGUGUGGACUGAAGGUAGCAACCUAAUCUAUGGUCCAGAAGCUACUCCAGAAUCUGCACAAAGUCCAGAGUGUAGUAUCAGCACAAUCGACCCCAUGUGCUAGUAAGUGCCUAGCCUAACCUCGGCGAAGUAGUGACAAGGCGAGGACCAAAAUACCACAUAAAACUGUGCAACUCAACUAUAUACAGUGGAAAAGAAUAACAGGAAUAACAGUCAAGUAUGGGAGGGGGUAACAUGAUGCGGGGACAUCGAAUAAUAGCAGAAGAACAACAAAUAAAUAUGAGGAUCACCACAGUUCAAUUGAAAAUAGGAAGGGGGGAUCAUGCUGCGGGGUACAACAAGUGUCAACAGGAAAUCAACAAUUAAAUAUAGAGAAACCGUAACUCAGUUAUCAAUAAAAAUUAGGAAAUCGAAAACAAGUGCACGGAAUCACCCUUCGUGCUUUAACACUCUCUCACCAAAAUAAUACACAACAUCACCCUUCGUGCUUUACACUCUUCCUCACCCAAGCAACAAUCACAAGGCAAAUAGGGUAAGGGAAUCUAUAACAUCAAAAUAAAAUCAAGUAACAACAGAAAAUUAGUAAACAAACGUAAAGGACAACAUAACUCGAUUAUCAGCAAGAAUCAGGAAAAUCAAGGACAAGUGCACAACAUCACCCUUCGUGCUUUUACUCUCGUCCUCACCAUAAGAAUCAAUAUAAACUGCACGGCAUCACCCUUCGUACUUUUACUCUCAUUCUCACCAUAAAAUCAAUAUAAUACGCAUGGAAUGGUACAUCGUGCGGCACGACAUCACCCUUCGUGCUUUACACUCUUUCCUUACAAAUCAUAUACGGCAUCACCCUUCGUGCUUUAAUACCCUUCCUCACCCAAACAACAAUCACAAACAAUAGGGCAAGAGAAUAAAUGAAACUAUAAUAAGAAUCCUGGCAAGGGAACAAUAGUUCAACAAUCAAGUCCCGACAAGGGAACAACAUCGUAAGAAGCAUCAACAUCCCGACAAGGGAGAUAACAUUAAAAGCAACAAAUUCCUGGCAAAGGAGAUAAUACAAUGUUUCUCUUCUCUUUUUCACUUUUAGUUCCCAACUCACUUCACAACUUUGAGCCAAUGCUCUAAAAGGUUCUAUUUCCACUUAUACUUUCACAUUUCAUUGUACAACUUGAGACAACACUCCUCAAUGUUCAAAUAUCAUAAUUACUUCCACAAACUUUGCCCAAUAAUAGAAAUCAUCAUCAAAGCAUGAAUAAUACAACGAAGCCAUAAUAAUCACAAUGUAAGACUCACAGGGAUGCUUGACACUAAUGUAUAGAUACUCGUCACCAGGCCUAUACAUCGUACUCGACAAACACCACAUAGCAAAUAGGACUCGACUCUUAAUCCUUCAAGAUAAGGUUAGACCAAACACUUACCUCGAUGCCACGAACACAAUUCAAGUCUCUACUAUCGCUUUACCUCUUGAUUCCACCACCAAUUUGCUCGUAUCUAGCCACAAGUUACUUAAUUACAUCAAUAAAUUCUAAAUGAAUCAAUUCUAAUGCAUGAAAAUAAGUUUUCCAAAAUUUUACCCAAAAAGUCAAAAAUUGCCUCGGGGCCACAUGGUCAAAACCCGAGGUUCGAACCAAAACCCGAUUACCCAUUUCCCCACGAGCCCAAAUAUAUAAUUUGUUUUGAAAUCGGACCCCAAAUGGAGGUCAAAAUCCCCAAUUUUUGAAAAACCUAGGUUCUACCCAAAAACACCCAAUUCCNNNNNNNNNNNNNNNNNNNNNNNNNAUACAAUUGAUUUGGAAGAAGUGUUGCUCUUGAAAAAUCGCCCUAGGGAGUUUGUGUUUUGAAAAGAUGUGAAAAAUGAUUGAUUUUCGGCUAAGUAUAAAAGUUGCAGGUCGCGGAUGUGGGAAUUGCGAACAGGGGUUCGUAAUUGUGAACCCCGACCUCUGCUAAGUUGGGAAAUGCGAAGGGGCUCUCGCAAUUGCGAGAUGGGAAAUGCGAACCAAAUAUCGCAUUUGCGAUAACAGGCCCAAGAGGACAUAUCGCAUUUGCGAAGGGUGUCUCGCAUUUGCGAAAUGGAGCUGGCCUGGGCUUCUUUCGCAAUUGCGACAAGACCCUAGCACUUGCGAUAUCGGAUUUGCAAUCCAGGAUUCGCAAAUGCGAAGCUUGCAUGCCUGCUAUGCACAACUGAAAACUACAAUUUCCUCAAGUCUAAAAUCCACCCCGUGGCCUAUCCAAAACUCACCUGAUCCCUUGGGGCUCCAGACCAAACAUGUACACCAAUCCCAAAAUAUCAUACGGACUCGUUCGUGCAUUCAAAUCACUAAAAUAACAUCAAUAACUAUUAAUUUAGCAUCAAAAUCAUGAAAUUUCCUUAUGAACUUCAAUUUCCAAUUUUUCUCAAAAAUGAUCUGAUUCACGUCGUUUCAAGUCCGUUUCUUACCAAACCUCACAGACUUAUCUUAAUUCACAUAUAACACCUAUACUGGGCGCCAGAACCAAAAUACGGGCCUGAUACCAUCAAGUUCUAAUCACAAUUCCUUUCCAAAUCGCAUAAUUAAUUUCAUAAAACAAUUUCUUUCGAAAAUUCAUUUCCCGGGCUUGGGACCUCGGAAUUUGAUUUCGGGCAUACGCCCAAGUCCCAUAUUUUCCUACGGACCCUUCGGGACCGUCAAAUCACGGAUCUGGGUCCUUUUACCCAAAAUGUUGACCGAAGUCAACUUAAUUUAUUUUAUAGUCCAAAUUUAUUAUUUUUCACAUAUUUCUAUAAAAUGGCUUUCCGGCUACGCGCACGGACUAUGAACGCAAAUUAAGGUAAGACUAAAAAAGGGUUUUAAAGCCUCGGAACGUAGAAUUCAUUUUAAAAACAAGUGAUGACCUUUUGGGUUAUCACAUUUAGCCCUUAUGUAUUUAUUUUGAUUUGGACAUUCUGGAGUUAGAUCACAAUAUAGUAUCCAUAGCUUGUGAUUUCAUGAGAUUCCGGAUUUUGGAAGUUGUCUAGUUUGAGAGUUUAUAUUUGUAUAUGCCGAGCGGCAUUUUAAACUUUCAUUAUGUUUAUUUCUGCAGUUUUUAUUAGUUUUAUCUGUUGUUCCCUUUUUCCACAAAUUGUUAGGCUUACCUAAUCGAAAAGACUAGGUGCCAUCACAACAGUUCAUGGAGGGAGAACUGGGGCCGUGACAAUUCAUUAUCGCCACUUGGCAUAAUUAUUGGUGUCCCAAGUAACCAAUUUAUUUUAAAUCCCAAACCGAGGAAAAUUGACUCUAUUUUUUGAUCCGCGAACACAGAAAACCGGGUAAGGAAUUCUGGUAACCCGGGAGAAGGCGUUAGGCAUUGGUUUUAGCACGGUCGCUCAACUAUUAAUAAUUGGCCUAAUUAUCUGCUUAAUUGCGUGUUUUAAAUCUAUUGUGCAUUUUUAACUUUAGUGCCGCUUUUAUUUAUUUAUGGAUUUAUUUCUGGAACAAGUCAUGAUUGUCGUACACUUGUCGUUUUGGUACAUAUUACAAGCCGCAUCACAUGAAAUGCACCCGCGAUUUACAACAUGUUCAUUUUUUAUUAUUGUUUGAAGUUAUGGUCAAGUCACAUAAAACGCACUCCCGAAUUGGGGAUUGCGUAUCAUGACUAUGGCACGGGAACCGUACCCAUAGUCACGAUAAUUUUAUUAAUCGCGCCUAAAGCAAGCUACGAUGUUCAUGAGUUAUUUUCCUUCUUUGAGGUUACUAUAAAGUCAUAAGGUAUGGAUAUUAUUGUGGAGGAAAUAAAGUGAAUUAAUUAUGAAUGAGUAGACUAGCUUCGUGUGUUUGAAAAAAAUUGGAUCGGCACAUGAAUAAAUAGGAACGUUGUUGUUUCUCUUCUUUUUUUAUUGGCUUUUGGCAGAUAUAUAUCUAAUUUGGCCUAAACUCGCAAACUAAAUUGCACAUCCAAUCCAGUUUCUGAUUUUUACAAGACAAACCAAAUGGCCAAAUUGGCAUAACUAAUGAACAAAGGUUCCAAGGAAAAAUAAUGAUUCACUACUUCUUAUUUUUUUUAGCUAUCAAACAAGAACUAAAAGAUUUUUAGAGUUAUAUCUAAUGCUCAUGAAAUUAGAAUUGAAAUAGGAGAUUCAGACAACAAUAUACCAACUAAAACGAUUCUGGCAAACCUAGUGUAAAUCAAACCGAUGCACAAUUUAAACAGAUAUUUCAUGAAGAAAUGAAAUUAAUUACUGCAAAUCAAGUCACUAUUAUUAUCAUUGUAAAAUAAACAAACAAAUAUUCCGGAGAUGGGUUGUUUAUGCAAGUGAUUAACAAUGGAAUUUUUAAUUGUACAUAGAUAACAUCACAGAAUGAACAAGGGAUGGAGGCAGCUUUAUUGAUCUAAUAUGCUGAAUUUCAGAUGAUUAAACGCACACGUAGUGUGAAAGAUCAAAUAUAAGGUUGUAUAGAAAUGUACAGAUGGACAUGAACAUACCUAAAUGCCAAAAAAACUAGAGUUUAGCAGCCUUUUGAAACAACCAAAUCAACAACAACAAGCAUGAAUUUGAGCUUUGACGGCUUGUGCAAACCCAGAAAAGAGGAAGUUGAUUUUUUGAAACUUCAGUAAUUAAUACCCUUUUUAAUGUUCUUUGAAAUUCAGUUUUCAAAAACCAGAAAAAUAGUAUUGAAGACCUCUUGAAUCAACCACUACGACUGAUUAUUUUGAGUAAAAAAAAGGUCAGCUGAAACUUUACUCUUUUUUUGUGUUUUUCCCCUCAAUUUGAAGCUGAAAAUUACAGAUCUAAUAAGGAAAUUUUUGAAUUUCAAAUUUGUUUUCAGAUGCAUUUAGGUGUGUAGCCCAAUGUAUGAGUAUGGGUGAGAAGAUAAGAAAUAAGAAGGGGAUAGGAGAGGGGUGCAACGACUAGGGUUAGUUUGAGGGAGGGGAUCUAAUUUUCUCUUUUUUGAGAUGGUGAUGGUGCCCGUUGUUAGAUUUUUUUA
RNAcentral lists this long non-coding RNA (5109 nucleotides) under Nicotiana tabacum (common tobacco). RNAcentral describes it as "long non-coding RNA (NTAB_LNC010686)". Lineage: Eukaryota; Viridiplantae; Streptophyta; Magnoliopsida; Solanales; Solanaceae. The record is from RNAcentral.